RNAcentral lists this ribosomal RNA (296 nucleotides) under uncultured bacterium. Its description in RNAcentral is "partial 16S ribosomal RNA". It matches the Rfam family "Bacterial small subunit ribosomal RNA", at positions 775 to 1067 of the family's 1533-position model. The record is from RNAcentral.
GGAUUAGAUACCCUGGUAGUCCACGCCGUAAACGAUGAGUGCUAGGCGGUGGAGGAUUUGACCCCUUCGCUGUCGCAGCUAACGCGCUAAGCACUCCGCCUGGGGAGUACGGUCGCAAGACUAAAACUCAAAGGAAUUGACGGGGGCCCGCACAAGCGGUGGAGCAUGUUGUUUAAUUCGAAGCAACGCGAAGAACCUUACCUAGCCUUGACAUACCUGUCAUACCAUUCCGAAAAGAAUGGGUCAUUUAGUUGGACAGUGUACAGGUGUUGCAUGGCUGUCGUCAGCUCGUGCUG